CCCGGUUGCAGCCGGCAGCCCACGUCCAGGGAGGGCGGAGGGAGGAGGAGAGGCGCGGAGAGGAGGGAGAGGAGGUGGGAGGGAGGAAGGCGAGAGAAAGGGAGCUGCUUCCAUCCUGGACUUCCCAGAGCCUGCCUGGAGCGCGCACUCAGCGGCUCUCGGGUCCCAACGUCCCAGCCGCGGCCCGCGCCCCUCCGCCCGACUCCUCCUCCUCUUUCUCUUCCUCCUCCUCCUCUCUGGGCACCCCUGUCCCCUCCUUCCAGCAGCUGCAGCCCCCUGUCCCAACUCGGCCUCAUCCCCAACUCUCCGCACUCACUCUUGGGACGCGCGUCCUCGCCCCAUCCUUCGCUUCCUUCCUUCCUUCUUCCUUCCUCCCCGGGCGCCCGCCCUCCCUCUCCAGGUCGCCCUCCCGGGGCCCGAUUGUCUCGGUGCCCCGCUCCCGGCCCGCGCCCUGCCCCGACUCUCCCUCGCAUUUCCUGAGUCGCCCGCCGCCGCCGUCGCAGUCUCACCGCGGGAUCCGCAGCCCAAGCCCGACAGCCACUGCCCCGGCUCCAGCCCCGCAGUCCGCGGCGCCCGCCCGAGGGAGCCCCGGCGCCCGGGGAAGGCAACAGUGGGCGAGCGCGACCUCGCCCAACCCGGCGCCCCAGCCCUGCCCGGCCCGGCGAGGAAGGACCGGGAAGAUGAACAACGGCGGCAAAGCCGAGAAGGAGAACACCCCGAGCGAGGCCAACCUUCAGGAGGAGGAGGUCCGGACCCUAUUUGUCAGUGGUCUUCCUCUGGAUAUCAAACCUCGGGAGCUCUAUCUGCUUUUCAGACCUUUUAAGGGCUAUGAGGGUUCUCUUAUAAAGCUCACAUCUAAACAGCCCGUAGGUUUUGUCAGUUUUGACAGUCGCUCAGAAGCAGAAGCUGCAAAGAAUGCUUUGAAUGGCAUCCGCUUUGAUCCUGAAAUCCCGCAAACACUGCGACUAGAGUUUGCUAAGGCAAACACGAAGAUGGCCAAGAAUAAACUCGUAGGGACUCCAAACCCCAGUACUCCUCUGCCCAACACUGUACCUCAGUUCAUUGCCAGAGAGCCAUAUGAGCUCACAGUGCCUGCACUUUACCCCAGUAGCCCUGAAGUGUGGGCCCCGUACCCUCUGUACCCAGCGGAGUUAGCGCCUGCUCUACCUCCUCCUGCUUUCACCUAUCCCGCUUCACUGCAUGCCCAGAUGCGCUGGCUCCCUCCCUCCGAGGCUACUUCUCAGGGCUGGAAGUCCCGUCAGUUCUGCUGAAUACUAUGUCCCAGGUGUGUGAUGGCGGCUGCAAUCUGUCUUGUGGGUAUUAAUGCAAUCUUCAGUGGUGGCUACUGUUCUCUAGCUGUUCUGCAAAACUGGAGCGUGCUGGCUUGAAAAAACCUUGCCCAGUUUUGAUCCCUUCAAGACUUUGCUACAGCCUCUAUCACACAUCUGUUUUUCUCAAAACAUAUAAUAAAAAUGUUUUACUCUUUUACACUGUAUAAUUGUAAGAAAUAGUGUGUUAUUUGUGAAUGCAUGGUCUGACAUUUCUGUACAGUUUGGAGGUAUUUUCAAACAAAACGUAAGAGAAGUCAACAAUAAAAGCAAGAAAAGUGAGUAUUUUUAUACCAAACAAACAUUUUAAGUAUGCUGGGAUGGACGAUCUUGCACAGGGUUGGAUCACUGUUUUGUGCUCGACUUUUGAAUGCUUGUAAUUUAAAAUAUCUAUUUUUUUCCUCUAAAGUAAGCUGCAUGUUUGAGGCAUGUUUCCAAAUAUUAACCAGAAUUUCCUGUAUUGUGACUAUAUAGAAAUCUGUGCCUACCCAGAGUCUAGGGUAUAUUAGCGUGGUGUAGCUGUUAGAACUGUUACCUGCAGUAUUAGGUCUAGAAUCCCAGUUCCAUUAAGACAACCCUGCAAGACAAUCAACCGGAAGCCCCCAGGAGCUUCUACCAAUGGCUUAUUCAUAACUGGGCAAAGAAAACAUUGGUAAGAACAGGUCAGUGUGCCCCAGCAGCUCCAGCUGCGACUAUAAACUGUGUGCCGAGUGUUGCAUUUUUGCAGUCUUAUGUUUCCUUUGUAACUGCAUGCUCCCGUGUGUAACUCACCUUCCACAAGCCAGCCCGGCAGCCCCGCUCCCCCAGUGGAAGUGCAGGGCUCGCCUCAUGGGUAAGGGACAACCUUGGCUUGGGAGGCCAGCCCCGGCCCACGAGGGGCUGGCUGUGCCCAACCCACUUGGCUGCAGCGGGCAGCUCAUGUCUCUGUCUCCAAAGUGAUUUCUGCAAAACAUCGGUGAAUUGAGCUGGUGUUCCCAACUCUUGGUGGCGCGGGGCCAAAUGGACCACAUACCAUGAGCUCCCGAAUGUCGUGUGCUAUGAGGAUGACCUGCCACACUGCACAGAGACGGAAGCAUUGGGCACUGGAACCAGUUCUACUCAGACUUCAUCAAAGUCAGUCUUGUGUUGUCAGUUGACACAUCUCCAGAGUAUGACAGCUCAACCGCUCCCCCUCAUACAAGAGGCAUCUGUAAAACCACAGUGACCUAAAUUCAGCUGCCAAACACAAUCACAGGCUUUCCUAUUGAUCUGCUCAGCUUCUGUGGAAAAUUUCAAUGUGAUGAUUACCUGGUUGGUUUGUGUUCUCCUGUUUUCCAUUAGAAAUAAAGAUGUCAAGAAGCUUUUAAAGGUCACCACAAAAAACGACCAAGACUCUACGAGUGAGGGGCCCGCUCUUACCAUAAAUAAGGGGAAAGGGCAGUUAGCACGGGGACUUGUGACGGAGCCACUUUGGUGUUCAAGGACCUGCUUAUGCCCUCAGUGCCACAUGGCUCUUGGUGAGAUGCCUGUACUCCUCUCUAAGGAAAACAGCCACUUCGACACAGUCUAUUAUGCUUUUAUAACUGUUUAAAGGUACUUUUCUAUGGUCGUUUUUAAAAAAUAAAGUGCUUAUUCCAG
RNA transcript from Sapajus apella (tufted capuchin), 2945 nucleotides. It is a transcript of the gene named RNA binding protein, mRNA processing factor, with no coding region annotated. NCBI's taxonomy places the organism in Eukaryota, Metazoa, Chordata, Mammalia, Primates, Cebidae. The transcript is spliced from 9 exons. The record is from RefSeq and is a predicted model, not a curated record.